RNAcentral lists this ribosomal RNA (497 nucleotides) under uncultured bacterium. RNAcentral describes it as "partial 16S ribosomal RNA". It matches the Rfam family "Bacterial small subunit ribosomal RNA", at positions 28 to 507 of the family's 1533-position model. The record is from RNAcentral.
GAUGAACGCUGGCGGCGUGCCUAAUACAUGCGAGUCGAGCGAACGGACGAGAAGCUUGCUUCUCUGAUGUUAGCGGCGGACGGGUGAGUAACACGUGGAUAACCUACCUAUAAGACUGGGAUAACUUCGGGAAACCGGAGCCAAUACCGGAUGAUAUUUUGAACCGCAUGGUUCAAAAGUGAAAGACGGUCUUGCUGUCACUUAUAGAUGGAUCCGCGCUGCAUUAGCUAGUUGGUAAGGUAACGGCUUACCAAGGCAACGAUGCAUAGCCGACCUGAGAGGGUGAUCGGCCACACUGGAACUGAGACACGGUCCAGACUCCUACGGGAGGCAGCAGUAGGGAAUCUUCCGCAAUGGGCGAAAGCCUGACGGAGCAACGCCGCGUGAGUGAUGAAGGUCUUCGGAUCGUAAAACUCUGUUAUUAGGGAAGAACAUAUGUGUAAGUAACUGUGCACAUCUUGACGGUACCUAAUCAGAAAGCCACGGCUAACUACGUG